ACGCUCGACACCUACGGGGGCAGCAGUGAGGGAUAUUGGUCAAUGGGGGAAACCCUGAACCAGCAACGCCGCGUGAGGGAUGACGGUCUUCGGAUUGUAAACCUCUGUCCUCUGUGAAGAUAAUGACGGUAGCAGAGGAGGAAGCUCCGGCUAACUACGUGCCGGCAGCCGCGGUAAUCUGAGCGGGCUGGCAAGGC
This 197-nucleotide ribosomal RNA is filed under the name uncultured bacterium. RNAcentral's name for it is "partial 16S ribosomal RNA". It matches the Rfam family "Bacterial small subunit ribosomal RNA", at positions 328 to 539 of the family's 1533-position model. The record is from RNAcentral.